RNAcentral lists this ribosomal RNA (1425 nucleotides) under Achromobacter sp. PW-1. RNAcentral's name for it is "bacterial SSU rRNA". It matches the Rfam family "Bacterial small subunit ribosomal RNA". The record is from RNAcentral. Lineage: Bacteria; Pseudomonadati; Pseudomonadota; Betaproteobacteria; Burkholderiales; Alcaligenaceae.
GGCUCAGAUUGAACGCUAGCGGGAUGCCUUACACAUGCAAGUCGAACGGCAGCACGGACUUCGGUCUGGUGGCGAGUGGCGAACGGGUGAGUAAUGUAUCGGAACGUGCCUAGUAGCGGGGGAUAACUACGCGAAAGCGUAGCUAAUACCGCAUACGCCCUACGGGGGAAAGCAGGGGGAUCAGGGGAUCGCAAGACCUUGCACUAUUAGAGCGGCCGAUAUCGGAUUAGCUAGUUGGUGGGGUAACGGCUCACCAAGGCGACGAUCCGUAGCUGGUUUGAGAGGACGACCAGCCACACUGGGACUGAGACACGGCCCAGACUCCUACGGGAGGCAGCAGUGGGGAAUUUUGGACAAUGGGGGAAACCCUGAUCCAGCCAUCCCGCGUGUGCGAUGGACAGGCCUUCGGGUUGUGAAAGCACUUUUGGCAGGAAAGAAACGUCAUGGGCUAAUACCCCGUGAAACCUGACGGUACCUGCAGAAUAAGCACCGGCUAACUACGUGCCAGCAGCCGCGGUAAUACGUAGGGUGCAAGCGUUAAUCGGAAUUACUGGGCGUAAAGCGUGCGCAGGCGGUUCGGAAAGAAAGAUGUGAAAUCCCAGAGCUUAACUUUGGAACUGCAUUUUUAACUACCGAGCUAGAGUGUGUCAGAGGGAGGUGGAAUUCCGCGUGUAGCAGUGAAAUGCGUAGAUAUGCGGAGGAACACCGAUGGCGAAGGCAGCCUCCUGGGAUAACACUGACGCUCAUGCACGAAAGCUUCGGGAGCAAACAGGAUUAGAUACCUUGGUAGUCCACGCCCUAAACGAUGUCAACUAGCUGUUGGGGCCUUCGGGCCUUGGUAGCGCAGCUAACGCGUGAAGUUGACCGCCUGGGGAGUACGGUCGCAAGAUUAAAACUCAAAGGAAUUGACGGGGACCCGCACAAGCGGUGGAUGAUGUGGAUUAAUUCGAUGCAACGCGAAAAACCUUACCUACCCUUGACAUGUCUGGAAUUCCGAAGAGAUUUGGAAGUGCUCGCAAGAGAGCCGGAACACAGGUGCUGCAUGGCUGUCGUCAGCUCGUGUCGUGAGAUGUUGGGUUAAGUCCCGCAACGAGCGCAACCCUUGUCAUUAGUUGCUACGAAAGGGCACUCUAAUGAGACUGCCGGUGACAAACCGGAGGAAGGUGGGGAUGACGUCAAGUCCUCAUGGCCCUUAUGGGUAGGGCUUCACACGUCAUACAAUGGUCGGGACAGAGGGUCGCCAACCCGCGAGGGGGAGCCAAUCCCAGAAACCCGAUCGUAGUCCGGAUCGCAGUCUGCAACUCGACUGCGUGAAGUCGGAAUCGCUAGUAAUCGCGGAUCAGCAUGUCGCGGUGAAUACGUUCCCGGGUCUUGUACACACCGCCCGUCACACCAUGGGAGUGGGUUUUACCAGAAGUAGUUAGC